This 253-nucleotide ribosomal RNA is filed under the name uncultured bacterium. RNAcentral describes it as "partial 16S ribosomal RNA". It matches the Rfam family "Bacterial small subunit ribosomal RNA", at positions 524 to 776 of the family's 1533-position model. The record is from RNAcentral.
UACGCAGGGGGCUAGCGUUGCUCGGAAUCACUGGGCGUAAAGGGUGCGUAGGCGGGUCUUUAAGUCAGGGGUGAAAUCCUGGAGCUCAACUCCAGAACUGCCUUUGAUACUGAGAAGCUUGAGUCCGGGAGAGGUGAGUGGAACUGCGAGUGUAGAGGUGAAAUUCGUAGAUAUUCGCAAGAACACCAGUGGCGAAGGCGGCUCACUGGCCCGGUACUGACGCUGAGGUGCGAAAGCGUGGGGAGCAAACAGG